This 75-nucleotide transfer RNA is filed under the name Pseudomonadota bacterium. Its description in RNAcentral is "tRNA-Phe". It matches the Rfam family "tRNA". Rfam says of the family: Transfer RNA (tRNA) molecules are approximately 80 nucleotides in length. Their secondary structure includes four short double-helical elements and three loops (D, anti-codon, and T loops). The record is from RNAcentral. RNAcentral also lists the same sequence under 3 other names. Lineage: Bacteria; Pseudomonadati; Pseudomonadota.
GCCGGGGUAGCUCAGCGGUAGAGCACUGGACUGAAAAUCCAGGUGUCGUCGGUUCGACUCCGACCCCCGGCACCA